Triticum aestivum (bread wheat) is the source of this 117-nucleotide non-coding RNA. Lineage: Eukaryota; Viridiplantae; Streptophyta; Magnoliopsida; Poales; Poaceae. The record is from Rfam.
AACAUACUCCCACCGUCCGGAAAUACUUGUCGGAGAAAUGAAUAAAAAUCUAGAACUAAAAUAUGUCUAGAUACAUCCAUUUCUCCGACAAGUAUUUCCGGAUGCAGGGAGUAUUAU